GCAAUACGGAUGGUGGCGACCGGCGCACGCGCCUGAGUAACACGUAUGCAACCUGCCUUCAACAAGGGGAUAACCCGUUGAUAGACGGACUAAUACCCUAUAACACAGGGGUCCCGCAUGGGAAUAUUUGUUAAAGGACAACCGGUUGAAAAUGGGCAUGUUAUCCAUUAGCUAGUUGGCGGGGUAAAGGCCCACCAAGGCAACGAUGGAUAGGGGAACUGAGAGGUUUAUCCCCCACACUGGUACUGAGACACGGACCAGACUCCUACGGGAGGCAGCAGUGAGGAAUAUUGGUCAAUGGACGCAAGUCUGAACCAGCCACGUCGCGUGAAGGAAGACGGCCCUACGGGUUGUAAACUUCUUUUAUACGGGAAUAAAGUGCCCCACGCGUGGGGUUUUGCAUGUACCGUAUGAAUAAGGAUCGGCUAACUCCGUGCCAGCAGCCGCGGUAAUACGGAGGAUCCGAGCGUUAUCCGGAUUUAUUGGGUUUAAAGGGUGCUCAGGCGGGGGAUUAAGUCGGCGGUGAAAUUUUGCAGCUCAACUGUAAAAGUGCCUUAAAAACUGGUUUCCUUGAGUGUGGAUGAGGUAGGCGGAGAUUUGUGGUGUAUCGGUGAAAUGCAUAGAUAUCACGAGGAACUCCGAUUGCGCAGGCAGCUUACUGAACCAUAAUUGACGAUCAAGCACGAAGGCGUGGGGAUCAAACAGGAUUAGAUACCCUGGUAGUCCACGCAGUAAACGAUGAUUACUGGCUGUUUGCGAUAUAGUGUAAGCGGCUGACCGAAAGCGUUAAAUAAUCCACCCGGGGAGUACGUUCGCGAGAAUGAAACUCAAAGGAAUUGACGGGGGCGCGCACACGCGGAGGAACAUGUGGUUUU
Molecule: ribosomal RNA, 875 nt
Filed under: Bacteroidetes bacterium PP2
Lineage: Bacteria; Pseudomonadati; Bacteroidota
Description: bacterial SSU rRNA
Rfam family: Bacterial small subunit ribosomal RNA
Source: RNAcentral